UGAAGGAACGAGCUGAAAGAAACAACAAAUCUUUUCAUCACUUAGAACAAAGAAAUGCAGCUUUAAUAGUUUGUAUCAGUUAUUGAUUGAUGAUCAGUUCUCAGCUGAUUCAACAAAUCUUCACUUCCUGUUGAAGAAGUUGAUCAAAGAAAAUGUUAAAUUUGACCUCCAGAAAUGUGAAAGUGACAAAGAGAAGCAACAAACAGCAGUUGAACACUGAGAUGAGACAUUACUGUGAAGACCACAGGGACAAAACAUCACAACACCAUCAGGACUCUGAUCAUGUCCAACACCUUGAAAACCUGGUUUUACUUCCUGUGUUUCUGUCCCCUGUUACCUGCUGCUCUCAUCUGGUUCUGUCCUUCAGCUUUCUCUACUACUUUGUAAUCAGUCAAUAAAGUUAUUCAAAACUGCUGCUGCUGUCUGUACAGCUGAUGUUGUGCUUUGUUUCCUCUCAGUCUGUCAGGUGGAGGUGGAGGAGGGGGAGGAGUCUGUCCAGCUGCCCUUCAGAACUACACCUGACCUGCCUGAGGACGCUACAGUGAUGUGGGACUGCUAUAAAGGAUCAUACAGGAGAGUCCACCUGUAUAAGAACAGAUCUGACCAGCCUGGAAAACAAAACCAGGUUUACAAAGACAGAACAGAGAUGAAGAAAGACCUGCUGAAGACUGGAGACCUCAGUCUGACCCUGAAACACCUCAAAGAGACAGACACAGGAAGAUACGAGUGUGAAGUCUACAAGGAUGGAUACAGACUGAGAGUGAAAACAGUGAUGCUCAAAGUGAAAGGGAGAACUCGGAUCAAAGAUGAAACAGAGGACAUCAGGAACAGAAGCAGCUCCACUGAUCCGACUCCUCUGAUGGCUGAUCAAUCUGUUUGAUCGGUCUGUUGGUCAAUCUUUGAUUAUUGAUCUGAUGUGACUUUGGAUCAGAGACUAAAUGGAGGUGAAGGAGCUGAUGGAGGACGGAUGAAGACAGGAGGACGCUUCAUCAGCUUCUUCUUCACUCUGACUCUCACACACAGUCUACACACUCACUAUUGAUGACUAUUGAUCAGUGAUGUCAGAGUGAUGUCAGAGUGAUGUCACAUGGUGGUUUGGACUGAAACAUGCCACUUUAUAUGAAGUUUAGUGACAAACCUUUGAUGGAAAUACACACCAAAAGUUAAAUGUAAAGAUAUAUGUCUACUAAUUAUUGUUUUAUGCUUUCGAAAUAAAAAGAUGAUUUAAUCAAUGAAUAAAUGGACAUUCUUUCAUAUUUUAAUUUAUUUUGAGUCCAACGUCAUGUCUUUAAUGUGGAUCUGUGUCAUCUUCACUUCAUCAGUGUGUUUCAGCUGCAGGACCAUGUUUUCUUCACAGAAACACAUGAAGAACAGAU
Molecule: long non-coding RNA, 1376 nt
Filed under: Sparus aurata (gilthead seabream)
Lineage: Eukaryota; Metazoa; Chordata; Actinopteri; Spariformes; Sparidae
Description: lncRNA (ENSSAUG00010002873.1)
Source: RNAcentral